RNAcentral lists this ribosomal RNA (397 nucleotides) under Protaspa sp. RNAcentral's name for it is "partial small subunit ribosomal RNA". It matches the Rfam family "Eukaryotic small subunit ribosomal RNA", at positions 582 to 975 of the family's 1831-position model. Lineage: Eukaryota; Cercozoa; Thecofilosea; Cryomonadida; Protaspidae. The record is from RNAcentral.
AUUCCAGCUCCAAGAGCGUAUAUUAAAGUUGUUGCAGUUAAAAAGCUCGUAGUUGGAUUUCUGGUACAAUGCGCCUGGCCCGCGACGGUUACGUCUGUGAGUGCCGGUGCGCGUUUGCCAUCCUUCUAGAAAACGUUUCUACCCUUCGCUGGGCCGGAUUCGCGAUCUAGAUCUUUUACUUUGAAAAAAUUAGAGUGUUUAAAGCAGGCUUUUGCUAUGAAUACAUUAGCAUGGAAUAAUAAUCUAGGACUUCGGUUCUAUUUUGUUGGUUUCUAGUACUGAAGUAAUGAUUGAUAGGGAUAGUUGGGGGUGCUAGUAUUGAGCGGCCAGAGGUGAAAUUCUUGGAUUCGCUCAAGACUAACUUAUGCGAAAGCAUUCACCAAGGAUGUCUUCAUUA